RNAcentral lists this ribosomal RNA (440 nucleotides) under uncultured bacterium. Its description in RNAcentral is "partial 16S ribosomal RNA". It matches the Rfam family "Bacterial small subunit ribosomal RNA", at positions 339 to 795 of the family's 1533-position model. The record is from RNAcentral.
CUACGGGAGGCAGCAGUGGGGAAUCUUAGACAAUGGGCGCAAGCCUGAUCUAGCCAUGCCGCGUGAGUGACGAAGGCCUUAGGGUCGUAAAGCUCUUUCGCUGGGGAAGAUAAUGACGGUACCCAGUAAAGAAACCCCGGCUAACUCCGUGCCAGCAGCCGCGGUAAUACGGAGGGGGGUUAGCGUUGUUCGGAAUUACUGGGCGUAAAGCGCGCGUAGGCGGAUCAGAAAGUUGGGGGUGAAAUCCCGGGGCUCAACCCCGGAACUGCCUUCAAAACUCCUGGUCUUGAGUUCGAGAGAGGUGAGUGGAAUUCCGAGUGUAGAGGUGAAAUUCGUAGAUAUUCGGAGGAACACCAGUGGCGAAGGCGGCUCACUGGCUCGAUACUGACGCUGAGGUGCGAAAGCGUGGGGAGCAAACAGGAUUAGAUACCCGAGUAGUC